RNAcentral lists this ribosomal RNA (446 nucleotides) under uncultured bacterium. RNAcentral's name for it is "bacterial SSU rRNA". It matches the Rfam family "Bacterial small subunit ribosomal RNA", at positions 28 to 507 of the family's 1533-position model. The record is from RNAcentral.
GAUGAACGCUAGCGGCAGGCCUAAUACAUGCAAGUCAAGGGGUAGCAAUACACCGGCGGACGGGUGCGUAACGCGUACACAACAUACCUUUAAGCGGGGGAUAGCAUUGGGAAACUGGUGGUAAUACCCCAUAACAUUGCGAUGUGGCAUUAUAUUGCAAUUAAAGUUUCGGCGCUUAGAGAUUGGUGUGCGUCUGAUUAGCUAGUUGCGGGGUAACGGCCCACCAAGGCGACGAUCAGUAGGGGGUGUGAGAGCAUGACCCCCCACAUGGGUACUGAGACACGGACCCAACUCCUACGGGAGGCAGCAGUAAGGAAUAUUGGACAAUGGGCGGAAGCCUGACCCAGCAACGCCGCGUGGAGGAAGACGGCCUUCGGGUUGUAAACUCCUUUUACGGGGGAAGAGGAAGGACGGUACCCCGAGAAUAAGUCACGGCUAACUACGUG